GAAAUUUUUACAGGUGAAUCAUUAUGUCUGAGUUGGAUGGUGGGUUGAGUAUGGCUUGCUUUACUAAUGAGUACUGCAUUCAUUGUUUGUUAUAACAUAUUUCUAAGAGGCAUGGUGGUUCAAUUAAAUAAUGGAGGUUAGGGAAGACUGUGAUAUACGAUAAGUCAAUGAGGUUUGUCUUAUAUGUAUAUAUCGUUCUUGCAGGGGAGCUGCGGUGGAACUUGUGGAGCCUUGACAUGUAGGUGUUUGCAAGGGGAACCUUGUAUGAAUUAUGUUUAUUGUACUGACUAGUUUGGGUUGGGUGUUGGCAAUACCAUAAUCCUUCCUAAUGUCCUUAAAAAACAGCCUUAUGUGAGAGAUAAACUUUAAAUUCUGGAUAUCACAAUGCUAGGAAUUCUUAUUUGUUGUUUAUAAUUUAAUUUAUAAUUGUUUCUCUUUGUUGUCAACAAUUCAUGGAGCUUCACGCUGUGAAUUCAGAUUUCAAUUAGAAUGCAGAAUUUAUUGGACUCGAGAAGCCAUUCAUCGAGCAUGCCGCUUUGUGGAUGAGUAUCUACUAUUGAAUACCUUUCUCGCUGGUUAUAGCCUCACAAUUGUAGAUGUUGCAGUCUGGACUGCUCUUGCUGGGUUCCUGUAGUGGCUAUGGUAACACUACAGGUUUUUGCUCCUCUAUGGUAUGUAUGUCUCCAUCUUCUCACUCGGAGCACAAAGCGAAUCUGAGCAGAUCUAGAUCCCAAAUCCAGUUCUUGCAUUCCCCUCUAUUUUUUCCAUUUCAGGUAGCUUCUUUGCUUGAUUAUGUAUUUCUUUCUACAUUUUAUGCCUGCUGGAUUAUAGAUUCAUUUCAGGUUCAAGAGAUUAUGCCUGAAGUAUAAAGGUUACAAGUCUAUUGGUGCUAGAAACAUUGUAUGAUAGAUUUUUGUUUUAGCUAUAAGGUAGUUGGUAUUUUCAAUUUUGAAUCGGAAUAUGCAAUGAUGAUGUAUACUUGAUAUUUGGUUCGUUUGUAUAAUAAUGUAUGAAUUUUUUGGAUGAUAUAUAAUAUUGUUAUCGUUGAUUU
Long non-coding RNA from Salvia miltiorrhiza (redroot sage), 1051 nucleotides. RefSeq lists it as uncharacterized. The transcript has 2 exons. The record is from RefSeq and is a predicted model, not a curated record. NCBI's taxonomy places the organism in Eukaryota, Viridiplantae, Streptophyta, Magnoliopsida, Lamiales, Lamiaceae.